GACGAACGCUGGCGGCGUGCUUAACACAUGCAAGUCGAACGGAAAGGCCCUGCUUUUGUGGGGUGCUCGAGUGGCGAACGGGUGAGUAACACGUGAGUAACCUGCCCUUGACUUUGGGAUAACUUCAGGAAACUGGGGCUAAUACCGGAUAGGAGCUCCUGCUGCAUGGUGGGGGUUGGAAAGUUUCGGCGGUUGGGGAUGGACUCGCGGCUUACCAGCUUGUUGGUGGGGUAGUGGCUUACCAAGGCUUUGACGGGUAGCCGGCCUGAGAGGGUGACCGGCCACAUUGGGACUGAGAUACGGCCCAGACUCCUACGGGAGGCAGCAGUGGGGAAUAUUGCACAAUGGGCGGGAGCCUGAUGCAGCAACGCCGCGUGCGGGAUGACGGCCUUCGGGUUGUAAACCGCUUUCGCCUGUGACGAAGCGUGAGUGACGGUAAUGGGUAAAGAAGCACCGGCUAACUACGUG
This 468-nucleotide ribosomal RNA is filed under the name uncultured bacterium. RNAcentral describes it as "partial 16S ribosomal RNA". It matches the Rfam family "Bacterial small subunit ribosomal RNA", at positions 28 to 507 of the family's 1533-position model. The record is from RNAcentral.